GGACACCUUCAGCUGCGGGGUCUUUGUAAUGCAGAUGGCCAAGGAAGUUGCACAGAACUUCCCCAACAUCCCCUCCAAAACUGAUAUGGAACCUUCAAAAACACAUGGAGCAACUGCGAAAAGAAAUGGCUGAGGAUAUACUAAAAAUGUCUGGUAUGUAAUGACAUUUAAUUCAAAGUAAAUGUAAAUUCUUUAUUUUUAUGUAGUUGUGUGGGACAGCCAUAUGUUCAGUUCAAGCCUAUGAUUUCAGAGUUCAUCAAAGCCAACAAGUGCUUCAUGUGUGCCACUGAUAAAGAACCUGGAUGUGGCCCAAAGACUGACUGGAAAUGAAGACAAAAGAGUUCAACAGAGUAAAGAACACAAACUGGAAGUGCAGUCUUUGUUGUUGAACAUGUAUGCUAUACCCCAUCCACACUGAAGAGGCUCUGAAAUGUACAUCAACCAGGGAUAAAGAGAAAGUUA
Salmo salar (Atlantic salmon) is the source of this 462-nucleotide non-coding RNA. Lineage: Eukaryota; Metazoa; Chordata; Actinopteri; Salmoniformes; Salmonidae. The record is from RefSeq and is a predicted model, not a curated record.